Molecule: long non-coding RNA, 637 nt
Filed under: Elaeis guineensis (African oil palm)
Lineage: Eukaryota; Viridiplantae; Streptophyta; Magnoliopsida; Arecales; Arecaceae
Description: long non-coding RNA (EGUI_LNC001522)
Source: RNAcentral
AUCUUGGGAGAUGGUGUCCUGACCAGACAUCCACCCAACAUAUCUCAACUAGAUAUUUAAGAUAUUAUAUAAUAUUUAAGAACAAUAUUGUGAAUAAAUAUAAAAAUAUAUUUCAUGCUAAUUCAAUGUAAAUCUAUUCUUUUCAAAUAUUUAUAUACAAUAUAAUCACAAAUUCGAUUCAAAUCAAAACACUCAUAACUCAACAGCCAUGAUUAUGACCAACAUUUAACUCUCAUUGGCAGGAUCUAUUGAAUACCAGUGCACAACCUUUACUAGCAGGAUCCACUAAAUACCAGCGUACAACCCCUACUGGUAGGAUCCAUGGAGUACCAACAUAUAAUCUUCAUUGGCAUGGCUCACUGAUUACCAACGUAUAAUUUUUAUUUAAGGGUCUACUGAAACAUAGUUAGGCUGAGAGCAUAAAUUUGAUCUGUAUCAAAAUACUUUUAUAUCAUAACAUAUCAUAAUUUUCACUGAAUAUAUGCAUAAUCAAUAAAUCAUAGUAUUUCAGAAUCACUUUUUAUUCAAAAUAUAAUUUCAUAAAUCAUGCAUAAUUUCAAAGAAUAAUUAUUUACUUUCAGAAUAAAUAUGAAAUAUCUCGAGAAGAUGAUUCACUAUUUAUCUUUCACAUAGCACU